AAAGAAGAAGAAAAAAUUCUUGAGAAGCAGCAGCAAAUCACUCUCAGGAAGAGAUAAGAAGAAAACUGAAAGAUCAAGGAUGAUUUGAGAAUCUGAAACUUGAGGGGAAAAGUUGGAAGGGUUGCUGGAGAAAACAAAAAUUACAAGGUAGACGAGGAGGACUCUACAAGAUCAUCCCCCCUCCACCAGAAGACUUUGAGGCCUUUCACUGCCAUUACCCUGAAGCUAUAUGACCUUCCACUAGAG
Long non-coding RNA from Carcharodon carcharias (great white shark), 246 nucleotides. RefSeq lists it as uncharacterized. The record is from RefSeq and is a predicted model, not a curated record. Lineage: Eukaryota; Metazoa; Chordata; Chondrichthyes; Lamniformes; Lamnidae. The transcript has 3 exons.